This 619-nucleotide long non-coding RNA is filed under the name Olea europaea (common olive). RNAcentral's name for it is "long non-coding RNA (OEUR_LNC002995)". Lineage: Eukaryota; Viridiplantae; Streptophyta; Magnoliopsida; Lamiales; Oleaceae. The record is from RNAcentral.
ACAAGAUCAACUGCUAAAAUCACCAAAAGAAAAUUAAUCAAAGAUCACUUUAACAGAUGUUUAAUGAGUCGACAGAUCCCCAAAAUUUUUACCCAAGGAAAAUUUAUUUUGUUUAAAAAAACACACUUAGAAACCCUAUAAGGCUUUAAUACCAGUUUUAUUGGGAUUUCUUGAUGAAAUAUUAAUUGACAAAAUAGAUCUUAACUAUAAAGCUCAAAGCAUAAACAAAAUUGAACGCGAAAACACCAAGUAUAUUGACCCAAUUCAACAAAUCGGCCAAAUUUGGAGGGCUCAAAGACUGGAACCCGUUCCACUAAUGCAAAUCUGUCCUCCAAGAGGUAGUAUCAUGUACAUCAAACCACUCAGAAAAAUCAAUUUUGACCAUCGACCCAUAUGGAUCUACAAAACCACAACCAAUUCUUUCUAUCAAUCAACUUUAACCAAACCUGACUCAAACGAGAAAACAACACAUACUUAAUCAAGCUUAGAGUUGCUGUAGCAGGAUGGCUUUUCAUGAAUUAACUUAAAAUAAGGAUUAAAUUGAGAAGAUUUUUAACCAAAAUAAAAAAGGAAUAAGAAGAUCGCACGCAAGCGAAAAGUCUAGAGAGAAAAACUGAAG